This 446-nucleotide ribosomal RNA is filed under the name uncultured bacterium. RNAcentral's name for it is "partial 16S ribosomal RNA". It matches the Rfam family "Bacterial small subunit ribosomal RNA", at positions 338 to 795 of the family's 1533-position model. The record is from RNAcentral.
CCUACGGGGGACAGCAGUCGAGAAUCAUUCACAAUGGGGGAAACCCUGAUGGUGCGACGCCGCGUGGGGGAAUGAAGGUCUUCGGAUUGUAAACCCCUGUCAUGUGGGAGCAAAUUAAAAAGAUCGUACCACAAUAGGCAGAGACGGCUAACUCUGUUCCAGCAGCCGCGGUAAUACAGAGGUCUCAAGCGUUGUUCGGAAUCACUGGGCGUAAAGCGUGCGUAGGCUGUUUCGUAAGUCGUGUGUGAAAGGCGCGGGCUCAACCCGCGGACGGCACAUGAUACUGCGAGACUAGAGUAAGGGAGGGGGAACCGGAAUUCUCGGUGUAGCAGUGAAAUGCGUAGAUAUCGAGAGGAACACUCGUGGCGAAGGCGGGUUCCUGGACAUUAACUGACGCUGAGGCACGAAGGCCAGGGGAGCGAAAGGGAUUAGAUACCCGAGUAGUC